RNAcentral lists this ribosomal RNA (467 nucleotides) under uncultured archaeon. Its description in RNAcentral is "bacterial SSU rRNA". It matches the Rfam family "Archaeal small subunit ribosomal RNA", at positions 1 to 473 of the family's 1478-position model. The record is from RNAcentral.
UUCUGGUUGAUCCUGCCGGAGGUCACUGCUAUUGGGAUUCGACUAAGCCAUGCGAGUCGAGAGGGUUCGGCCCUCGGCUGACGGCUCAGUAACACGUGGAUAAUCUACCCUAAGGUGGAGGAUAACCUCGGGAAACUGAGAAUAAUACUCCAUAAGUCUAGGAUACUGGAAUGUACUUAGGCUGAAAACUUCGGUGCCCUAGGAUGAGUCUGCGGACUAUCAGGUUGUAGUCAGGGUAAAGACCUGACUAGCCUACAACGGAUACGGGUUGUGAGAGCAAUAACCCGGAGAUGAUAUCUGAGACACGAUAUCAGGCCCUACGGGGCGCAGCAGGCGCGAAAACUUCACACUGCGCGAAAGCGCGAUGAGGGAAUCCCAAGUGCUUGCACGUAAGUGUAAGCUGUUUCUAUGUCUAAAACGCAUAGAGAGUAAGAGCUGGGUAAGACGGGUGCCAGCCGCCGCGGUAA